RNAcentral lists this transfer RNA (72 nucleotides) under Nippostrongylus brasiliensis. It matches the Rfam family "tRNA". From Rfam's summary of the family: Transfer RNA (tRNA) molecules are approximately 80 nucleotides in length. The record is from Rfam by way of RNAcentral. Lineage: Eukaryota; Metazoa; Nematoda; Chromadorea; Rhabditida; Heligmosomidae.
ACAUCGGUAGCACAGUGGUUAGUGCAGUCUGCCGGAAACAGAGAGACGCGGGUUCAAUUCCCGUCCGAUGUC